This is a long non-coding RNA of Aedes aegypti (yellow fever mosquito), 223 nucleotides long. RefSeq lists it as uncharacterized. The transcript is spliced from 2 exons. The record is from RefSeq and is a predicted model, not a curated record. NCBI's taxonomy places the organism in Eukaryota, Metazoa, Arthropoda, Insecta, Diptera, Culicidae.
UUUAUCAAAAUAUUGCGUGGCACAUUCAUUACUUUAAAUAUUCAAAGAAUAUGACUCAAAUCGUUAUAUACUCGAAGUCACACGGAAUUCAGCAUAACUUUUCUCAAGGUAAACAUUGUGCCGCAGUGUUAUUUGGAUUUGGAAUGUUACUGGAGCCAAAUAUUUAAUCAUUGACCGCUUUGGCUUGCUUACGUAUAGGUAGUUCCGCAUGCCGAAAUCACAA